AUGGGGAUACUGCUCUGCCUUGCAUAAUCAGUCAAUCCAUUAUGCAUCUUCAGCAUGUCAAUCACCUCCGCAUCCAUGUCCCCUUUGAUAACAUAGGAAGUAAUCGAAAGGCUAUAUGUCCCUUGACUAAAUUUGUCAACCUCUAGGUCGUGGCUGGUCAUUUUGCUGCACAUCAUAAGGGCUUAGGUAUAGAAUACAAGUGAUUCGUUAUCUGAUUCAAAACACUACUCUUUCCUGCUGUUGUAAUCAGCAUAAUGGUCUUUCUUUUAGAUAUUAUUGAAGCUGCCUAAACAAAAUGUGUUGCUGCAGAUACAAAUAGGUACCUCCUUUUAAUUGGCUGGUCGCAAUGGCGGCGCAUCAAGGUGCAAGGCAGCGGCGUCAUGUUCAUACUAUGGGAAAGGAAGAGCUCCUAAUAAUUUUUAUGCUCCUUGCCGUAGGUGAGUUGCCACCUCUUCCCACAUGUUCGUGCUAAUUAUUAAGUAAACUCGAGAAUGAAUUGUGAUUGUGAUUAGUAUCUUUAGAUAUUGGUCAGUACUUUUACUCUACUUGCUUAUGUAGCCACUAAUGUGGUUCCUUGAUGCUUCUUUGAAGGCAAUUGAUUAAGUCAAAAGGCAACAAGAAGGCACGACGGCGAUCAAGGACCUUAUGUACGCCGAGUGCUAUCUUUUGUCUACCAUAUCGUAUGAGAGAUGAACCAACUAAGUCAUGUG
RNAcentral lists this long non-coding RNA (710 nucleotides) under Triticum aestivum (bread wheat). Its description in RNAcentral is "long non-coding RNA (TAES_LNC013748)". Lineage: Eukaryota; Viridiplantae; Streptophyta; Magnoliopsida; Poales; Poaceae. The record is from RNAcentral.